GACGAACGCUGGCGGCGUGCCUAAUACAUGCAAGUAGAACGCACAGUUUAUACCGUAGCUUGCUACACCAUAGACUGUGAGUUGCGAACGGGUGAGUAACGCGUAGGUAACCUGCCUGGUAGCGGGGGAUAACUAUUGGAAACGAUAGCUAAUACCGCAUAAUAUUAAUUAUUGCAUGAUAAUUGAUUGAAAGAUGCAACUGCAUCACUACCAGAUGGACCUGCGUUGUAUUAGCUAGUAGGUGAGGUAACGGCUCACCUAGGCGACGAUACAUAGCCGACCAUAAAGGGUGGUCGGCCACACUGGGACUGAAACACGGCCCAGACUCCUACGGGAGGCAGCAGUAGGGAAUCUUCGGCAAUGGACGAAAGUCUGACCGGGCAACGCCGCGUGAGUGAAGAAGGUUUUCGGAUCGUAAAGCUCUGUUGUAAGAGAAGAACGGGUGUGAGAGUGGAAAGUUCACACUGUGACGGUAUCUUACCAGAAAGGGACGGCUAACUACGUG
RNAcentral lists this ribosomal RNA (505 nucleotides) under uncultured bacterium. Its description in RNAcentral is "partial 16S ribosomal RNA". It matches the Rfam family "Bacterial small subunit ribosomal RNA", at positions 28 to 507 of the family's 1533-position model. The record is from RNAcentral.